UACGUAGGGUGCAAGCGUUAAUCGGAAUUACUGGGCGUAAAGCGCGCGCAGGCGGCGAUCUACGUCUGGGGUGAAAGCCCGGAGCUCAACUCCGGGACUGCCUUGGAUACGGGAUCGCUUGAGAAUUGGAGAGGCAAGGGGAAUUCCACGUGUAGCGGUGAAAUGCGUAGAUAUGUGGAGGAACACCUGUGGCGAAGGCGCCUUGCUGGCCAAUUUCUGACGCUGAGGCGCGAAAGCGUGGGGAGCAAACAGG
RNAcentral lists this ribosomal RNA (253 nucleotides) under uncultured bacterium. RNAcentral describes it as "partial 16S ribosomal RNA". It matches the Rfam family "Bacterial small subunit ribosomal RNA", at positions 524 to 776 of the family's 1533-position model. The record is from RNAcentral.